ACAACCAAUCAACAAGGCACUCAGACAAAAAAAAUCCUAAUUCUAAAAUUCAGGACUUGGGAUCUCUCGGGUGAAUGAAGGUUUAGGUGAUUUUCAAUAUUUCCUAGAUGAACAUCAAUGUCAAGAAAUUGAGCAACCAUAUAAUAUUCAUGAGCUUGCUACUACUCAUAAAUUUGAUCAAAGUUAGCUUUCUGGACAAGACUCUUACCCUCCAAUUAUUACAAAAGUUCUCAAUCAAAAGUUUCACCCCUUCUUUUAAAAAAAAUCAUCUAAAGUUUAUGCUCCCCAUAAAAUAGGUAAAUUAAAAAGGAUUUAAGUCCUUUAAAAGUACUCUCCCU
Molecule: long non-coding RNA, 338 nt
Filed under: Vigna radiata
Lineage: Eukaryota; Viridiplantae; Streptophyta; Magnoliopsida; Fabales; Fabaceae
Description: long non-coding RNA (VRAD_LNC012793)
Source: RNAcentral